UUUUAUUAAUAAAUUGAUUAUUUAAUUUUAAUAAAAAUUUUUUCCUUUGGCUUUGCAUGUACAUUUUAACGUGUAUUUGUCCCUAUUUACAAAAUGUGUUGCAGGGAUUUUGAUAGAAAUUACUUUAAAGCUAAAGAUCAUUUUGGUGGGAAUUGACAUUUUGUUGAGUCUUGCGGUUUAUGAAUAUGUCUUGGUCCCCAGUUCCCGGAGAGGUGAAGGAGUGUGCCCAGGGCCACACAGGAAAAGAGAGUCUUCUGUGCCUCCAAUACCGACAGAAAUAGUCCUUGUAUGGACUCAUUUCUGGCCCAGGAUCCAGACCCCACACGAAAGGGUAAGUUCUCAUUAUUGACAACAACUGGGUUAACCUGCUAGGAAGGGUGUGCUAGUCAGGGGAACAGGAGUGUGUGAGUACUUGGAGGUGAGACUGAGUUGAGAAUGUUCAAGGUUUCCAUGAUACCUGUGAGAACAGAAAAUAGUGGGGCAGAAGUCAGGCCUGGAGUGACAGCCUAAGGAGCUAGGCCUUUCUUCUGAAAAUUUGCAGCAGGGCAUUCAGGUGAUUUUGAGACAGCCAGGUGGGAGGGGGGUCCCUCGAAAACCACCAACCAGCCUGCCCACUGGUGUGAAGCCUUGGGAAGUUCGCCAUUUGCAGCGAGGAGGAGCCUGGCCCCUCCUCUUCUUGUGUGGAACCUGGGAUUCA
Molecule: long non-coding RNA, 697 nt
Organism: Sapajus apella (tufted capuchin)
Lineage: Eukaryota; Metazoa; Chordata; Mammalia; Primates; Cebidae
Exons: 3
Source: RefSeq, a predicted model, not a curated record